GCCGGAGUGGCGGAACAGGCAGACGCAAGGGACUUAAAAUCCCUCGGGCCCUAGGCCCAUGCGGGUUCGAGCCCCGCCUCCGGCACCA
This 88-nucleotide transfer RNA is filed under the name Bacillota bacterium. Its description in RNAcentral is "Firmicutes bacterium (anaerobic digester metagenome) tRNA-Leu". It matches the Rfam family "tRNA". Rfam says of the family: Transfer RNA (tRNA) molecules are approximately 80 nucleotides in length. Lineage: Bacteria; Bacillati; Bacillota. RNAcentral also lists the same sequence under 1 other name. The record is from RNAcentral.